AGCGAACGCUGGCGGCAGGCCUAACACAUGCAAGUCGAACGAACUCUUCGGAGUUAGUGGCGGACGGGUGAGUAACACGUGGGAACGUGCCUUUAGGUUCGGAAUAACUCAGGGAAACUUGUGCUAAUACCGAAUGUGCCCUUCGGGGGAAAGAUUUAUCGCCUUUAGAGCGGCCCGCGUCUGAUUAGCUAGUUGGUGAGGUAAAGGCUCACCAAGGCGACGAUCAGUAGCUGGUCUGAGAGGAUGAUCAGCCACAUUGGGACUGAGACACGGCCCAAACUCCUACGGGAGGCAGCAGUGGGGAAUCUUGCGCAAUGGGCGAAAGCCUGACGCAGCCAUGCCGCGUGAAUGAUGAAGGUCUUAGGAUUGUAAAAUUCUUUCACCGGGGACGAUAUUGACGGUACCCGGAGAAGAAGCCCCGGCUAACUUCGUG
RNAcentral lists this ribosomal RNA (433 nucleotides) under uncultured bacterium. RNAcentral's name for it is "partial 16S ribosomal RNA". It matches the Rfam family "Bacterial small subunit ribosomal RNA", at positions 29 to 507 of the family's 1533-position model. The record is from RNAcentral.